GCUAACGAGCCCCCCUCAGGUUAGCUCAGCCUGUGAGAAGGCAGAACUCCUCCGAGUCCAACCGGAAAUGCAUCAUUUAGAGUGAAAGGACAGUUAGAUGCUGUGGGAGUUUCAGGGUAGCCAAACUCCUGACCAAGAGCAGCUGAUUUAACUCAUGGACACAAAUUUCCAAGCUUCCGAGCUUCAAUAGUUUUAUGGAAAGAAAUGAACGUGGGAAAACUACAAAUAAGUCCUAUUUUCCGAGUCCUUACUUCACUGAACACUUCAAUCCUGUAAGCCAGGUUCUCCAACCACUUCACAAAUGAACUCAUUAAAGGUGGAGAGAGAUGAAA
Molecule: long non-coding RNA, 332 nt
Filed under: Rattus norvegicus (Norway rat)
Lineage: Eukaryota; Metazoa; Chordata; Mammalia; Rodentia; Muridae
Description: long non-coding RNA NONRATT020165
Source: RNAcentral